GAGGAGCCUAUGGCCUAUCAGCUAGUUGGCGGGGUAAUAGCCCACCAAGGCGAUGACGGGUAGGGGAUGUGAGAGCAUGAUCCCCCUCACUGGGACUGAGACACUGCCCAGACACCUACGGGUGGCUGCAGUCGAGAAUAUUCCUCAAUGGGCGAAAGCCUGAAGGAGCGACGACGCGUGCAGGACGAAGGGCUUUGGCUCGUAAACUGCUUUUCUAAGGGAAGAACAUUGACGGUACCUUGGGAAUAAGAGGUUGCUAACUCUGUGCCAGCAGCAGCGGUAAUACAGAGACCUCAAGCAUUAUCCGGAUUUAUUGGGCGUAAAGGGUCCGCAGGUGGCCGUUCACGUCAGUGGUCAAAUCUUCGAGCUCAACUCGAAAACUGCCACUGAUACGGUUCGGCUCGAGUCUGGGAGAGGUAAGCGGAAUUGCCGGUGUAGUAGUAAUAUGCGUUGAUAUCGGCAAGAACACCAAAUGCGAAGGCAGCUUACUGGAACAGUACUGACACUCAGGGACGAAAGCGUGGGGAGCGAAAGGGAUUAGAU
RNAcentral lists this ribosomal RNA (543 nucleotides) under uncultured bacterium. RNAcentral's name for it is "bacterial SSU rRNA". It matches the Rfam family "Bacterial small subunit ribosomal RNA", at positions 224 to 783 of the family's 1533-position model. The record is from RNAcentral.